This 422-nucleotide ribosomal RNA is filed under the name uncultured prokaryote. RNAcentral describes it as "bacterial SSU rRNA". It matches the Rfam family "Bacterial small subunit ribosomal RNA", at positions 355 to 774 of the family's 1533-position model. The record is from RNAcentral.
UGAGGAAUAUUGGUCAAUGGGCGCAAGCCUGAACCAGCCAUCCCGCGUGAAGGAUGAAUGUCUUAUGGAUUGUAAACUUCUUUUCUGUGCAAAGAAUAUGCCUUACGUGUAGGGUAUUGAUGGUAGUACAGGAAUAAGCACCGGCUAACUCCGUGCCAGCAGCCGCGGUAAUACGGAGGGUGCAAGCGUUAUCCGGAUUUAUUGGGUUUAAAGGGUGCGUAGGUGGAAUGAUAAGUCAGUGGUGAAAUCCUGCAGCUUAGCUGUAGAACUGCCAUUGAUACUGUUGUUCUUGAGUGCAGAAGAGGUAGGCUGAAUGAGUAGUGUAGCGGUGAAGUGCUUAGAUAUUACUCAGAACACCGAUUGCGAAGGCAGCUUACUAAACUGUAACUGACACUGAUGCACGAAAGCGUGGGGAUCGAACA